GACGAACGCUGGCGACGUGCUUAACACAUGCAAGUCGAACGGAAAGGCCCUGCUUUUGUGGGGUGCUCGAGUGGCGAACGGGUGAGUAACACGUGAGUAACCUGCCCUUGACUUUGGGAUAACUUCAGGAAACUGGGGCUAAUACCGGAUAGGAGCUCCUGCUGCAUGGUGUGGGUUGGAAAGUUUCGGCGGUUGGGGAUGGACUCGCGGCUUAUCAGCUUGUUGGUGGGGUAGUGGCUUACCAAGGCUUUGACGGGUAGCCGGCCUGAGAGGGUGACCGGCCACAUUGGGACUGAGAUACGGCCCAGACUCCUACGGGAGGCAGCAGUGGGGAAUAUUGCACAAUGGGCGGAAGCCUGAUGCAGCAACGCCGCGUGCGGGAUGACGGCCUUCGGGUUGUAAACCGCUUUCGCCUGUGACGAAGCGUGAGUGACGGUAAUGGGUAAAGAAGCACCGGCUAACUACGUG
This 468-nucleotide ribosomal RNA is filed under the name uncultured bacterium. Its description in RNAcentral is "partial 16S ribosomal RNA". It matches the Rfam family "Bacterial small subunit ribosomal RNA", at positions 28 to 507 of the family's 1533-position model. The record is from RNAcentral.